UACGGAGGGAGCUAGCGUUGUUCGGAAUUACUGGGCGUAAAGCGCACGUAGGCGGCUAUGCAAGUCGGGGGUGAAAGCCCGGGGCUCAACCCCGGAACUGCCCUCGAAACUAGGUAGCUAGAAUCUUGGAGAGGUCAGUGGAAUUCCGAGUGUAGAGGUGAAAUUCGUAGAUAUUCGGAAGAACACCAGUGGCGAAGGCGACUGACUGGACAAGUAUUGACGCUGAGGUGCGAAAGCGUGGGGAGCAAACAGG
RNAcentral lists this ribosomal RNA (253 nucleotides) under uncultured bacterium. RNAcentral describes it as "partial 16S ribosomal RNA". It matches the Rfam family "Bacterial small subunit ribosomal RNA", at positions 524 to 776 of the family's 1533-position model. The record is from RNAcentral.